This 3628-nucleotide long non-coding RNA is filed under the name Brassica napus (rape). Its description in RNAcentral is "long non-coding RNA (BNAP_LNC009615)". The record is from RNAcentral. Lineage: Eukaryota; Viridiplantae; Streptophyta; Magnoliopsida; Brassicales; Brassicaceae.
UCUCGGCGACUCUCGCCCUCUUCUUCCUUCUCACCAAUGCCUCCAUCUACCGAACGGUCGUAGAAGUCGAGGAAGAUGAUGCCACAAACCCAGCCGGCCCAUUUCGGAUUCCGAAAUGUAGGAAGGAGUUUCAGCAAGCACAACACCUAAGAGCUUGCCAGCAAUGGCUCCACAAGCAGGCAAUGCAGUCCGGUAGUGGUCCAAGCUGGACCCUCGACGGUGAGUUUGAUUUUGAAGACGACAUGGAGAACCCUCAGAGCCCACAGCAGAGGCCACCGCUACUCCAGCAGUGCUGCAACGAGCUCCACCAGGAAGAGCCACUUUGUGUUUGCCCAACCUUGAAAGGAGCAUCCAAAGCCGUUAAACAACAGGUUCGACAACAGCAAGGACAGCAGGGACAGCAGCUGCAGCAAGUAAUUAGUCGUAUCUACCAGACUGCUACGCACUUACCUAAAGUUUGCAACAUCCCUCAAGUUAGCGUUUGUCCCUUCCAGAAGACCAUGCCUGGACCCUCCUACUAGAUUCCAAACGAAACCCUCGAGUGUAUGAAUGUGGUUGUCGGUAUAUGUCAACGCCACACUUCAUCGCGUAAUAUGUAAGGUCUUAUCUAGGAUGUUUGAGGCUAUGUAAUUAGCACUACUCCAUAAUAAAAGAGGNNNNNNNNNNNNNNNNNNNNNNNNNNNNNNNNNNNNNNNNNNNNNNNNNNNNNNNNNNNNNNNNNNNNNAAAAAAUAUUUUGAUAAGCGAAAAAUUAAAAUCAUGUAAUUAUAAACAGUUUUAAGUGAUAUAAAUUAAAAUAUAACAAAAUUGAAUUGUUUUCAACAUAGAUGAGUGUAGGUAGUGAAUCAUGGUAUUCUUUGGUCUAGGGUUUGACAACAUAUGUUGUAGUAUUGUAUGUAUACUUAGGGUUAGAUUUUGGAAAGCUUGAAUGUUUUUUUGAAAAAUUAAUUUUUUACCUAUGCAUGUUUAUUUUUGUGUAUAGUAAAUACUUUUGAAGUUUAAUUUGGUUUUAUGAAGUGUUUAGUUAGUUAAUUAAGUUUAGGGGUAAUGUUUAUGAUCUAGACUACUUACAUUUCAGUCGUAUGGUGAAGAAAUUAAAACAGACGACUUACAUGUAAGUCGUCCAAAUAUUUCCGCCUAAAAUUUUUUUAAAAAUUAUUUUCCCGCUUAAAUAAUAUAAACCAGACGACUUACUUGUAAGUCGUCUAGAAAGUGUUCUAUUUUAGUUUCUCACUAAAAAUAUUUUAAUUUCCCGCUAAAAAUAUUAAAACCUUCUGGACGACUUACAAGUAAGUCGUCUGAAUCAAACAUAUUUAACCUAAUUGAAUUUUUUGUCUCCCUAUAUAAAGAAAAAUUUACACAUUUUCUCUCCUCCUCUCAAAUGGCUGCAACAAAAAUGUAAUGUUCAUCACUCUAAAAGUCUUCAACCUCUCUCUAAUCUUUUUGACUUGAAAACACCAAACUUUAUAUGAAUUUUUCAGUUUUGUCUCAUGUCUUUCUUAAUAAUCUAUCUUUUUUGCAGGUUUUUAAUCAGAUGGUACUCAUCUUCCACUCAUUUAAAGGUAGAUCUAUUAAUUUUAGAUAUAUAUUUUUGUGUGUUCUAUAAAGGUAGAUUUAUCUAAUCUUCCACUCAUUUUCUCUAUUUUUAAGUCAUUUGAACGUUUUUGGAUAUGCAGGUUUUUCAGAUCUGGAUUUGAUAUGCAGGUUUUUCAGAUCUGGAAGACUUCUAUAAUGUUCUUGAUCGAUCACCGGUUUUUGAUGGUAUAUUACAAAGUCGAGCUCCAAAAGUUAAUUACAUUGUCAACGGACAUGAGUACCAUUUGGCUUACUAUCUCACAGAUGAUAUUUAUCCAAAAUGGGUUACUUUUGUCCAAUCUAUUCCACUCCCGCAAGGUCUGAAAGCAUCCUUAUUCGCUACACAUCAAGAAGCUGUAUGUAAAGAUGUCGAGCGUGCUUUUUGGGUCUUACAAGCUCGAUUUGCCAUAGUAAAAAAUCCAGCUCUUUUGUGGGAUAAAAUAAAAAUUGGAAAGAUAAUGAGAGCAUGUAUCAUUCUACAUAAUAUGAUCGUAGAAGACGAACGAGAUGAGUACACUCAGUUUGAUGUAUCAGUUUUCGCACAACCAGAAUCAAACCGAAGUUCACAAGUGGAUUUCACGUAUUCUACAGAUAUGCCUUCAAAACUCGGCAAUAUGAUGAGCAUUCGGAAUCGAGUUCGUGAUAAUACAAUACAUCAACAAUUGAAAGCGGAUUUGGUUGAGCAUAUAUGACAAAAAUUUGGAACAAUCAAGAUUUCAACUAAUCGGUUUUUUCUCGUUUACGAUUUGUAUUUGUAUUUUUAAUAUGCUUUUAUGUCAUUUUUAUUAAGAAUUUUAAUGUAUGAUUUUAUUUUUAAUCAUUCUAUUUAAAAAUGAAUUAUUUAAGAACCCCUUGGGGUUCUCCCAUUGGGAGAGGAAUACAUAAUUUCCUCAAACAAAGGUUCUUUAACUACUCAAAUCACUUUAUUAAAUAUUAAUUUACUCCUAAAAACCCAUUAGAGGUUCUAAUGGAUGGACUUGCUCUUAACGAUCCCGAAUUACAUAGUUAUGUGUUCUCACACUUUCUCUUACAAGUGUUUUUAACCGCUUGCUUAAACUUUAAAUUUUAGUUUACCAUGUAAUUAAUUAUGAUCAGUGCCAUUGUGUGAUUCCUUUUUCUUAAAUAUCUUAACUUGAAUUAACUAAAUGUUUAAAAGGAAAUUCGUUUUUUAUAAAAAAUAUACAAAAUGUCAGAAUAUGAACUACACAUCAUACAUGCAUGGUUGCAUGGCAUGUAGACGCGGAAACUUGUCACUCCUCCACAUUUGAGAUUCCAACACCUAAUCGCUACAAAAACCUUAUAGAUUCUCCCUUUCUCACAAACAAACAAACACAUUCAUGCAAUGUUACACGUGAUCUCCAUGCAGAACAUCUUUCACGCCUAUAAAUACCAACCAACACUCCACUUCCCUCUUCACUCAAACGAAAACAAGCAAAAAACAUACACACAAAUAGCAAAUGGCCAACAAGCUCUUUCUCGUCUCGGCGACUCUCGCCCUCUUCUUCCUUCUCACCAAUGCCUCCAUCUACCGAACGGUCGUAGAAGUCGAGGAAGAUGAUGCCACAAACCCAGCCGGUCCAUUUAGGAUUCCGAAAUGUAGGAAGGAGUUUCAGCAAGCACAACACCUAAGAGCUUGCCAGCAAUGGCUCCACAAGCAGGCAAUGCAGUCCGGUAGUGGUCCAAGCUGGACCCUCGAUGGUGAGUUUGAUUUUGAAGACGACAUGGAGAACCCUCAGAGCCCACAGCAGAGGCCACCGCUACUCCAGCAGUGCUGCAACGAGCUCCACCAGGAAGAGCCACUUUGUGUUUGCCCAACCUUGAAAGGAGCAUCCAAAGCCGUUAAACAACAGGUUCGACAACAGCAAGGACAGCAGGGACAGCAGCUGCAGCAAGUAAUUAGUCGUAUCUACCAGACUGCUACGCACUUACCUAAAGUUUGCAACAUCCCUCAAGUUAGCGUUUGUCCCUUCCAGAAGACCAUGCCUGGACCCUCCUACUAGAUUCCAAACGAAACCCUCGAGUGUAUGAAUGUGGUUGUCGGUAUAUGUCAACGC